RNAcentral lists this ribosomal RNA (435 nucleotides) under uncultured bacterium. Its description in RNAcentral is "partial 16S ribosomal RNA". It matches the Rfam family "Bacterial small subunit ribosomal RNA", at positions 29 to 507 of the family's 1533-position model. The record is from RNAcentral.
AGCGAACGCUGGCGGCAGGCUUAACACAUGCAAGUCGAGCGGGCGUAGCAAUACGUCAGCGGCAGACGGGUGAGUAACGCGUGGGAACGUACCUUUUGGUUCGGAACAACACAGGGAAACUUGUGCUAAUACCGGAUAAGCCCUUACGGGGAAAGAUUUAUCGCCGAAAGAUCGGCCCGCGUCUGAUUAGCUAGUUGGUGAGGUAACGGCUCACCAAGGCGACGAUCAGUAGCUGGUCUGAGAGGAUGAUCAGACACAUUGGGACUGAGACACGGCCCAAACUCCUACGGGAGGCAGCAGUGGGGAAUAUUGGACAAUGGGGGCAACCCUGAUCCAGCCAUGCCGCGUGAGUGAUGAAGGCCCUAGGGUUGUAAAGCUCUUUUGUGCGGGAAGAUAAUGACGGUACCGAAAGAAUAAGCCCCGGCUAACUUCGUG